RNAcentral lists this ribosomal RNA (478 nucleotides) under Acinetobacter baumannii Naval-18. RNAcentral's name for it is "bacterial SSU rRNA". It matches the Rfam family "Bacterial small subunit ribosomal RNA", at positions 55 to 527 of the family's 1533-position model. Lineage: Bacteria; Pseudomonadati; Pseudomonadota; Gammaproteobacteria; Moraxellales; Moraxellaceae. The record is from RNAcentral.
AUGCAAGUCGAGCGGGGGAAGGUAGCUUGCUACCGGACCUAGCGGCGGACGGGUGAGUAAUGCUUAGGAAUCUGCCUAUUAGUGGGGGACAACAUCUCGAAAGGGAUGCUAAUACCGCAUACGUCCUACGGGAGAAAGCAGGGGAUCUUCGGACCUUGCGCUAAUAGAUGAGCCUAAGUCGGAUUAGCUAGUUGGUGGGGUAAAGGCCUACCAAGGCGACGAUCUGUAGCGGGUCUGAGAGGAUGAUCCGCCACACUGGGACUGAGACACGGCCCAGACUCCUACGGGAGGCAGCAGUGGGGAAUAUUGGACAAUGGGGGGAACCCUGAUCCAGCCAUGCCGCGUGUGUGAAGAAGGCCUUAUGGUUGUAAAGCACUUUAAGCGAGGAGGAGGCUACUUUAGUUAAUACCUAGAGAUAGUGGACGUUACUCGCAGAAUAAGCACCGGCUAACUCUGUGCCAGCAGCCGCGGUAAUACA